RNAcentral lists this ribosomal RNA (253 nucleotides) under uncultured bacterium. Its description in RNAcentral is "partial 16S ribosomal RNA". It matches the Rfam family "Bacterial small subunit ribosomal RNA", at positions 524 to 776 of the family's 1533-position model. The record is from RNAcentral.
UACAGGGGGUGCAAGCGUUGUUCGGAAUUACUGGGCGUAAAGGGCUUGUAGGUGGCCAACUAAGUCAGACGUGAAAUCCCUCGGCUUAACCGGGGAACUGCGUCUGAUACUGGAUGGCUUGAGUGUGGGAGAGGGAUGCGGAAUUCCAGGUGUAGCGGUGAAAUGCGUAGAUAUCUGGAGGAACACCGGUGGCGAAGGCGGCAUCCUGGACCAUUACUGACACUGAAAAGCGAAAGCCAGGGGAGCAAACGGG